GUCGAGCGGAAACGAGUUAUCUGAACCUUCGGGGAACGAUAACGGCGUCGAGCGGCGGACGGGUGAGUAAUGCCUAGGAAAUUGCCCUGAUGUGGGGGAUAACCAUUGGAAACGAUGGCUAAUACCGCAUGAUGCCUACGGGCCAAAGAGGGGGACCUUCGGGCCUCUCGCGUCAGGAUAUGCCUAGGUGGGAUUAGCUAGUUGGUGAGGUAAGGGCUCACCAAGGCGACGAUCCCUAGCUGGUCUGAGAGGAUGAUCAGCCACACUGGAACUGAGACACGGUCCAGACUCCUACGGGAGGCAGCAGUGGGGAAUAUUGCACAAUGGGCGCAAGCCUGAUGCAGCCAUGCCGCGUGUGUGAAGAAGGCCUUCGGGUUGUAAAGCACUUUCAGUCGUGAGGAAGGUAGUGUAGUUAAUAGCUGCAUUAUUUGACGUUAGCGACAGAAGAAGCACCGGCUAACUCCGUGCCAGCAGCCGCGGUAAUACGGAGGGUGCGAGCGUUAAUCGGAAUUACUGGGCGUAAAGCGCAUGCAGGUGGUUUGUUAAGUCAGAUGUGAAAGCCCGGGGCUCAACCUCGGAAUAGCAUUUGAAACUGGCAGACUAGAGUACUGUAGAGGGGGGUAGAAUUUCAGGUGUAGCGGUGAAAUGCGUAGAGAUCUGAAGGAAUACCGGUGGCGAAGGCGGCCCCCUGGACAGAUACUGACACUCAGAUGCGAAAGCGUGGGGAGCAAACAGGAUUAGAUACCCUGGUAGUCCACGCCGUAAACGAUGUCUACUUGGAGGUUGUGGCCUUGAGCCGUGGCUUUCGGAGCUAACGCGUUAAGUAGACCGCCUGGGGAGUACGGUCGCAAGAUUAAAACUCAAAUGAAUUGACGGGGGCCCGCACAAGCGGUGGAGCAUGUGGUUUAAUUCGAUGCAACGCGAAGAACCUUACCUACUCUUGACAUCCAGAGAACUUUCCAGAGAUGGAUUGGUGCCUUCGGGAACUCUGAGACAGGUGCUGCAUGGCUGUCGUCAGCUCGUGUUGUGAAAUGUUGGGUUAAGUCCCGCAACGAGCGCAACCCUUAUCCUUGUUUGCCAGCGAGUAAUGUCGGGAACUCCAGGGAGACUGCCGGUGAUAAACCGGAGGAAGGUGGGGACGACGUCAAGUCAUCAUGGCCCUUACGAGUAGGGCUACACACGUGCUACAAUGGCGCAUACAGAGGGCGGCCAACUUGCGAAAGUGAGCGAAUCCCAAAAAGUGCGUCGUAGUCCGGAUUGGAGUCUGCAACUCGACUCCAUGAAGUCGGAAUCGCUAGUAAUCGUGGAUCAGAAUGCCACGGUGAAUACGUUCCCGGGCCUUGUACACACCGCCCGUCACACCAUGGGAGUGGGCUGCAAAAGAAGUAGGUAGUUUAACCUUCGGGGGGACGCU
RNAcentral lists this ribosomal RNA (1414 nucleotides) under Vibrio parahaemolyticus. RNAcentral describes it as "bacterial SSU rRNA". It matches the Rfam family "Bacterial small subunit ribosomal RNA". The record is from RNAcentral. Lineage: Bacteria; Pseudomonadati; Pseudomonadota; Gammaproteobacteria; Vibrionales; Vibrionaceae.